This 252-nucleotide long non-coding RNA is filed under the name Lathyrus oleraceus (garden pea). RNAcentral describes it as "Pisum sativum (pea) long non-coding RNA (PSAT_LNC001809)". The record is from RNAcentral. Lineage: Eukaryota; Viridiplantae; Streptophyta; Magnoliopsida; Fabales; Fabaceae.
GGAAAUUCAAUUUCACAAAGAAAUAUGAAUCCAAACUCAAUUGGGGAAGAAAAACAUCAAUACAGGAGUAAAAGAGAUAUAUCUUAUGCCACCAGUUACUGGGUAGGAAGAUAAUAUACUCGGACAGAGGGACAUCCAUUACUGGUUAAGAUAAACAUAUCAAGGAUGACUCGCUGAGGAAAAUAAGGAAUAUUCAUUACCGAAAACAAGGAAUAUUCAAAUAGGAAUUACAACUACGUUUUUACCAAGCAG